CCUACGGGGGGCAGCAGUAGGGAAUUUUCGGCAAUGGGGGGAACCCUGACCGAGCAACGCCGCGUGAACGAAGAAGUUAUUCGUAAUGUAAAGUUCUUUUAACAGGGAAGAAAGAGAAAUUUGACGGUACCUGAAGAAUAAGCUCCGGCUAACUACGUGCUAGCAGCCGCGGUAAUACGUAGGGGGCGAGCGUUAUACGGAAUUAUUGGGCGAAAAGGGUGCGUAGAUGGCAUAGUAAGUCUUUUGUAAAAAUGCUGGGCUCAACCCAGUAGGGCAAAAGAUACUGCAAAGCUAGAGUAUGACAGAGGCAAGUGGAACUACAUGUGUAGCGGUAAAAUGCGUAAAUAUAUGUAAGAACACCAGUGGCGAAGGCGGCUUGCUGGGUCGAUACUGACAUUGAGGCACGAAAGCGUGGGGAGCAAACAGGAUUAGAUACCCCAGUAGUC
RNAcentral lists this ribosomal RNA (446 nucleotides) under uncultured bacterium. RNAcentral describes it as "partial 16S ribosomal RNA". It matches the Rfam family "Bacterial small subunit ribosomal RNA", at positions 338 to 795 of the family's 1533-position model. The record is from RNAcentral.